Molecule: long non-coding RNA, 1027 nt
Filed under: Parus major (Great Tit)
Lineage: Eukaryota; Metazoa; Chordata; Aves; Passeriformes; Paridae
Description: lncRNA (ENSPMJG00000015893.1)
Source: RNAcentral
GGAAUUUCCUUUUUUAUGUGUUUAAUUCCCAAGCAGCUGGAGUGUUAGAAGCAUAAAAAGGUGAGCUCAAAUAAUCAUUCAUUCAUUAGAAUGAAUGAUUAUUUGACUAUAUCUAAUCACAGCCUACGGAAUUCAACACAAGCUAUUAUUAUCUUUACAGCUGGGUAAUACUGUGGCUACUCUACCAAAUGAAUAAGCUAUUCAAGCUUGCCACAAGAGCUGUAAGAGACUGGCCCUAGAUAUCCAUCAGCAUCAGCACCACAGCUUCCUCAGCAGAUGUCCCCAGAACCAUCACUGGGGUCAUGGCCAAGAAUAAUACUGAGAGGGAGACAAUGCUUGUCCAGCUUAAGAACUUGUUCUCCACCCACUAUUCUGGAAUAGGAGAGUCCACACAUGGAGUUAAUCAGGGGAAGUGGGAUAAAUCCUUUGCCUACAACUAACACAGCUACAGCCUGUACACCUCUUUCCCAGAGAUUGGCUGCCAGGACAGCUCCUCAGAGAAGGCCAUGGCCCCAACAAGUAGGAAAGAGUCUGUACCUUCAGGCAAGCUUCUCCAUCAGACCAGUGAAAAAUAGAAUUGGGAAGCAUAGAUGCCCAUGGAAAAAAGGGAAAACAAAGCACUGAGGGAGUGGAGGACAGAGGCCCUGAAGAUGUGUGCAAAUGGUCUCCAUAGGAAUGAACUUCAGCUAAAGACAUUGGCUAAAUCAGCAUGAAUUACAAUGAGAAGCCAGGAUUUCUAAAAUCUUAAUAGGCAUAUUUAGCUACCUCUUAUUAUCUACUUCCUCUUAUUCAGAGCAAAUGAUCACAGAUAAAUCACAGAUCUACACAUUUUGCACAUGAUGUAAAAAUUGUGGAAAUAAUUGAACAGGAAUAUGAGGAGCAUAUAGACAAAUUUUAAUUGCUUGUCUUAUUGCUCCUGCCUGCUGCUAAGUUUGAACCCUUGAAUCCUCUGUUCUUCUAAUCAAUACAGGAAUACAAAAUGUGCCUUUUGUUUAGGAAGUCACUAGUACAUCAGCUUCAACUGAAG